Molecule: ribosomal RNA, 732 nt
Filed under: Staphylococcus haemolyticus
Lineage: Bacteria; Bacillati; Bacillota; Bacilli; Caryophanales; Staphylococcaceae
Description: bacterial SSU rRNA
Rfam family: Bacterial small subunit ribosomal RNA
Source: RNAcentral
UACCUAUAAGACUGGGAUAACUUCGGGAAACCGGAGCUAAUACCGGAUAAUAUUUCGAACCGCAUGGUUCGAUAGUGAAAGAUGGUUUUGCUAUCAUUUAUAGAUGGACCCGCGCCGUAUUAGCUAGUUGGUAAGGUAACGGCUUACCAAGGCGACGAUACGUAGCCGACCUGAGAGGGUGAUCGGCCACACUGGAACUGAGACACGGUCCAGACUCCUACGGGAGGCAGCAGUAGGGAAUCUUCCGCAAUGGGCGAAAGCCUGACGGAGCAACGCCGCGUGAGUGAUGAAGGUCUUCGGAUCGUAAAACUCUGUUAUUAGGGAAGAACAUACGUGUAAGUAACUGUGCACGUCUUGACGGUACCUAAUCAGAAAGCCACGGCUAACUACGUGCCACCAGCCGCGGUAAUACGUAGGUGGCAAGCGUUAUCCGGAAUUAUUGGGCGUAAAGCGCGCGUAGGCGGUUUUUUAAGUCUGAUGUGAAAGCCCACGGCUCAACCGUGGAGGGUCAUUGGAAACUGGAAAACUUGAGUGCAGAAGAGGAAAGUGGAAUUCCAUGUGUAGCGGUGAAAUGCGCAGAGAUAUGGAGGAACACCAGUGGCGAAGGCGACUUUCUGGUCUGUAACUGACGCUGAUGUGCGAAAGCGUGGGGAUCAAACAGGAUUAGAUACCCUGGUAGUCCACGCCGUAAACGAUGAGUGCUAAGUGUUAGGGGGUUUCCGCCCCUUAGUG